UUUGGACAAUGGGCGCAAGCCUGAUCCAGCCGUGCCGCGUGAGUGAAGAAGGCCUUCGNGUUGUANANCUCUUUCGGACGGAAAGNCAUCGCGCAGGUUAAUACCCUGCGCGGAUGACGGUACCGUCAUAAGAAGCACCGGCUAACUACGUUCCAGCAGCCGCGGUAAUUCGUAGGGUGCGAGCGUUAAUCGGAAUUACUGGGCGUAAAGCGUGCGCAGGCGGUUGCUUAAGAGAAGGGUGGAAUCCCCGGGCUUAAGCUGGGAACAGCGCUUGUGAAUGGUCAGGUAGAGUACGGCAGAGGGGGGUGGAAUUCCACGUGUAGCAGUGAGAUGCGUAGAGAUGUGGAGGAACACCGAUGGCGAAGGCAGCCCCCUAGGCCGAUACUGACGCUCAUGCACGAAAGCGUGGGUAGCAAACAGGA
This 422-nucleotide ribosomal RNA is filed under the name uncultured bacterium. Its description in RNAcentral is "partial 16S ribosomal RNA". It matches the Rfam family "Bacterial small subunit ribosomal RNA", at positions 363 to 777 of the family's 1533-position model. The record is from RNAcentral.